AGUAGUAAAGGCUAAAGAGAAGCGUUGGCCUUGUAAGUCAAAAAUUGAGGCUUUGCCUCUUACUGCUU
RNAcentral lists this transfer RNA (68 nucleotides) under Nacella magellanica. RNAcentral describes it as "tRNA-Thr". It matches the Rfam family "tRNA". Rfam says of the family: Transfer RNA (tRNA) molecules are approximately 80 nucleotides in length. Their secondary structure includes four short double-helical elements and three loops (D, anti-codon, and T loops). RNAcentral also lists the same sequence under 2 other names. The record is from RNAcentral. Lineage: Eukaryota; Metazoa; Mollusca; Gastropoda; Nacellidae.